Molecule: long non-coding RNA, 4223 nt
Organism: Triticum aestivum (bread wheat)
Lineage: Eukaryota; Viridiplantae; Streptophyta; Magnoliopsida; Poales; Poaceae
Exons: 2
Source: RefSeq, a predicted model, not a curated record
AGAGCCCAUAGUAUGCCCUACACCAUUGAACGAGAGUAGUUGGCGGUAGAUGGGGCGGCGUCGUUGACGAUCUUGAACUAUGUGAAAGCUUUUGCUGGUAUCAAAAUCGGUGUCUAGGCCUAGAGAGUUCUAAUGGCAUCUUCUUCACUGGCUAUGUUAUUGCUAUAAUCCUCAAAUGCUUUGGGUACUGACUUGUGUGACCUUUGGAUUCUCCUUGGACUUGACAUCACAAUUCAAUUUUUUUCUUCUACAUGUAGAAUCAAGCACAUGAUUCAAAGAUUCAAAUUUCAUAACAACUUUGAUGCACAGAUAAAUUAGCAGGUACAAAAAUGAAUGACAUAAAAUUUUCAACUCACUGAAAUGUACUAGACGUGUGCAAACUCAGGAGAACAGUACAUGUCCAAGGAAAACGGAAUGAGUUGGAAGUAAUGUCUUGUCCAUUUUAGUGCCUACUGGUAUAUUUGUUUUCAAAAUAAGUCUUUAUGGAAUUUGAAUAUUCCGAAUCAUAUGUUCUAUUUUACAACGAGGAAAAAGAGAAGUUCUGAUGAUGAUGUCAAGUCCAAGCAGGAUCCAAAGAUAACUUGAGUUAGUAGUGAAGGACAAUAGCAAUAACCAAGCUUGCGAAAAAAUGGCAGAGGUCUACAUCCCUAGACACAGAUUUAGACGCCGUCCAAAGCUUUAAAAACUUCAAGAUAAUCGUCAAUGGUGCGGACCGCGAACUACUCAUCGUUUACCGUGUAGGGCAUAUUACAGGUCUUGCCAAGAUCGGAAGUCGCUUCUCGAUGGGCGUAUGCCGAAGUACAUGAACCCGACUGCUCACUGUAGGAUUGAUCACGGGGAGGGUCAACAUUGCCAAGGGCAUUAGGUCCUUCCUCGCCUCUUCGUCUUCCCAUGAGGACCUCAUGGAGUGGAAGAAUACCCUGGAGUUCUUUGAGCUGCUAAAGCAUGGGCUUCGGCUUCAUGCACAAGUGUGAUGAUGACCUCCUUGGCCUCCUCAUUGCCUGAUCUUCAUCGGAUCGCUUGUCGACCUAGUCCAAGGGGUACAAGGAGGUGAAGUUGGAGUGUGCUCCCUCCAUGGAGAAGUUGAGGGCACUUGCGUCAAAGAUGUCGAGCCAGAAGACUGCUCUCAAAGUGAUGGAAAUGGAGAUGUAGGGUCGAACACAAAGAAGAGGGUCGACCAAGCUAUGCGACAAUUAGCGAGUGAUGACGCCUUGUGUACAUUGUUAGUGACUGGAACUACACAACUAUCUCAUCGUACUUGCCCUAUCUAUCUUGCUCUAGUUGUGUCUAUCUACUUGGUUUUUGGUACACAUGUACCACUAGAAAGGAUGUUGUGUUUUCGUGCACAUCAACUUUACCUUAGUUUGCACAGCAAUUAUGUGUGAUGAAAUGGUUAUAUGUCGUGUGGUUUCAUGGUUUGUUAUGAGCGUGUGCUAUUUGUUUAUUUUUGUAGCUGCUGUUUUGGUGCCAAACUGAACAUACAUGUUUUGAUUGAGUUCAUUGUUACGUUUCAUGAGGGAAAGGAAAUGAAGUAUAGGUAAAUAGCUUAAGAAUCAUUGAUCUUCUCAGACUUGAGGAGGAAAAACAACAUCUAAACUUAACUUGAGACUAUGUUAAGAAACAACUCAGGGGACACGUGAUGACCAAUUUAUGGAGUCUUUUCUUGGAAGAUAGAUUUAUGGAGUCCUAAGCUGUUAUCCAAUAUAAUCCAGGCAGGCAAUGUGUCUUAAUGAGAUUAUACAAUACAAGUAGAAAAUAAAGAAGGAUUGCUUAUCUACAAUAUAAUCCACCUACUGAUUCUUGCACGUACACGACGGAGAGGUGAUUCUUGAGAAGCGGAAAACGAUCACCAUUCUUUUGAUCAUUUAUCUGACCGUUUCUUGAACCUUUGUAUUCUUGAAUUCCAUUCUGUGUGUUGUAUUCUUUUUUCUCAUGUUGGUACAAUGUCUGAGGUUUUUGUUGAAACUCCCUGGUAUGUUAAGUUUUUUAAAAGUGAGUACAAUGCAGACAAUGUGCACCAAUUUAUUUUGAGGAAAAGGAUAUGUUCAAUGCUGCAACAAAGGUUGUGGUGCGAUAAGUGGCUCGAUGGCGUUUCUCUGGACAUCGCACCAUAUAUCAUCGGCCUGAACACCCCCUCUACUAGCGCGCAGAACGAUGGCUGAGGUGUUGCUUGAUUCUGCUUGGUUAAAAGACAUAUGGGGCCCCUUAACAUCGGCGCUUAUCUUCAAUUACUCGAGCUCUGGGAAAGACUUUGCUCUUCACCCAGAGCAUGAUGAUAGCCGGUCAUGGUCGUGGGAGGCUAGUGGUAGUUUCUAGGUCAAGUCCUUCUACGUGGCACACUUUGUCACUUCUUUAGGAUCAGGUUCGAUGAGGCCAUUUGGAAGGCUCCUGAGAAUCUAGACAAGCGAUCAAGGUCUCCCACAUAACGAACUAUGUGCCAUGUGCAGUGUUGUGCCUGAGGACAGCAGUCAUCUCUUUCCCGGCUGUGCCGUUGCCAGACUGCCAGUAUAAAUUUGAAACACCAUCCUCCAAUAGGCUAACUUGCCGUCCCAACUAUGGAUCAGGACCUUGUGUUCUGGGGGAUCACUGCUAGGGAAGCUUACCACGGUAAGGACCGGAAGAGGCUUGUUUGUCUCUGUAUCUUGGGGUCUGGACCAUAUGGAGAGAAAGGAAUGCUCUUGUUUUUGACAUCAAGGUUACUCCCAUCGUUCAGGUUGUGAAUAAGCUUACCGCAGAUGUAGAGUUGUGGCUAGGAAAGAUUUAGGUUCUUUUCUUUUCUUUCCCUUCAUCUGGCCUUUGGCUGUUCUAUGUCUUUCUGGUCUGGUCGUUGGCCUUGUUCUUGUUGUUCUGUAUUUAACUUUGAUCGGUUUUCUUCUGCUACAAAGUUCACAUACAGUUCUCUUGCAUGGUUGAAAAAAAUUAAAGCCUGUGCCAGGCUCGUGGAAUCUUGUUUCCUUGCCUUUUCAUUGCGGGAUAUUUUGUAAUCUAGAGACUACUAUUGCUGCUACUUUAUUGCUAGAUCACUAGUUGAGAUUUAGUAGAGUAACGAAAUUAUUGAUCUACUAGUUUAUUUUUACACUCAUAACAAUGAGUAAUCUGCCAUGGUUGCUUAACUAAUUUCUAGAGGAAGGGAGAGACGGCAGCAGGUGAUUCCUAGUCUGUCAAGACCAAAAAGGGGCAGAAAGUGGCAUUGUUGCAUCAAAUGUUGUAACAAUGAGCAGAUGGUGAGAGCCUUCAUGUGACCAUCAAAUGAUCUUACAUUACUGCAAUUUCACGCACAUCUUCUUUUCCAAGCUUCAUAGUUUCCAUAUAUUAACUAUUUAAAAAGGAAACCACUUAUUGUUUAGUUGGUCGGUUGGUUGGUCGUUCGAUAGAUCGAACACUGAGGAAAGGCUGUUAUGAUGCAUUGAUGCCACUUCAUUAACUUUUUAUGUCAGCCUUUUUUCCUUGUGUUUACGUAUCUUCAGUCUUACUACCUUGCGGAACAGCCCGACAAACCAAAAAUUAUUUGCGUAUGUUUUUUCUUCCUGUGCUAAAUAGUACUGCAGUGACUAGUAUAAGUAUACAAUGAUGUUCCUUUUUGGUCUUUUACUAAAUUACAACUUCUCUGGCACAGAAAUUUGGUGAUUGUAGGACUAGGAACUUGCUACUGGUGUUGCUCAGCAGUCUAUGACAACGAGUUUGUUCCAGAUGGCGGUGAGGUGGCCUUUGUUCCUUUUUGAAAGUUCCUGAGAUCCUGUAUAGGUCUCUUGAUGUGAACCUUGUGAUUGGAAUGUCUUUCAAGGUCUGACCUUAUAUAGACUUUUGUUUAAACUGAUCGAUUUUUUGGAUGAACAUUACGAUUUCGCAACCAUUUGCCCAUUUUUAUCUAUGACUUGCUAGUUUUUUUUUUCUUAAGGUGCUAGAUUUGAUCGUCACUCUUUGUGGAGAUGAAUCAUAUGAGCAGCUAGAUGUUGUCAUGUAAUGUUCCAUAUGGUGAAGAGGAGACUGGUAAAGUACGUGCUAGGAGGUACUGUAUGUACAUAGUGAGUCAGUUGAAAAGCAGUGGCGGAUCUAUGAUCUCAAAACACUCUGGGGGUGCCACGGUUAAUUUUUUUAAUGUAAUUUGGUCUAAAUGUAUCAUAGCUCCAAAUUAGCAUUAAGAUGUUAGAUAAGUAUUGUUAGGUAAGGUUUCUUUGCGCAACCCUUACAUUUCCAUGUCAUGUUUGUGUUGUUUCCUUCAA